Molecule: ribosomal RNA, 711 nt
Filed under: Triticum aestivum (bread wheat)
Lineage: Eukaryota; Viridiplantae; Streptophyta; Magnoliopsida; Poales; Poaceae
Description: partial small subunit ribosomal RNA
Source: RNAcentral
AUGAACCAAGAUCAAAUGAGUGAACCUCAAUUCACGCAAGAAGAUUGGCCAACAUUGAGCCCGACUCCAAACAACCAAAAUGAAGGUUUUGAAGAGGAGAAUGAUGAGUACGAGGAGGAUGACAACGAAGUUGACCUCCAUGACAACAGUGUGGGUGAUCUCGACCAAUAUCAUGUGCAAGAGACAAUGGACCAAUCCAUUCCUUUUUCCCGUGCAUAUGCAUCGGACUCGGAUGACGAUGGUCCUGAUGAAGAAGUUGAUGAGGAGGGGUUCACACCGAAGGAGGCCGAAGCAUUCAAGAAGGUAUUCGGGCGGGAUCACAAGACACCAUUGUUCAAGGAUCUUAGUCUCGCGGAUGAAGCCGUUGUGGAUGGUGGAAAAUGCAUAUCUCUUGGAGCUAGGCAAAGUUCUCACCGUGAUUUGGAAGACGGCAAGAACGGGAUAUAUCCCGGUUGUGAGUUUCAAUCCUUCUUGGAAUUGAAGAUGUGGCUCGACAACUACUCGGUUACACAUUAUCGUCCACAUAAAGUGGCCAACUCGGACGUGAAUGUGCGUUACACAGUCAAAUGUGAAGUGCCAACAUGUCCAUGGAUUGUGCGUGCAAGGCCAUGGAAAGGAGGUCCCACUUGGCGCAUAGUGAGUUGUCUACCAACUCACAUGUGUCGGCACAAGAAUGCGGAUGGCAAGCUUGUGUACCAACAACACAGAUAA